AAUGCAUGGUGGGGACACUUUCUAAUCCAUUCUUUGAAUCUCUCCCAUAUUUCAUAAAUUAAUUCUCCAUCUAAUAGGGAGGAUGAGGAAACAUCAUUCAUAAGUCU
Molecule: small nucleolar RNA, 107 nt
Organism: Dendrobium catenatum
Lineage: Eukaryota; Viridiplantae; Streptophyta; Magnoliopsida; Asparagales; Orchidaceae
Source: RefSeq, a predicted model, not a curated record